This 833-nucleotide ribosomal RNA is filed under the name Ocypode ceratophthalmus. RNAcentral describes it as "SSU rRNA". It matches the Rfam family "Eukaryotic small subunit ribosomal RNA", at positions 78 to 888 of the family's 1831-position model. The record is from RNAcentral. Lineage: Eukaryota; Metazoa; Arthropoda; Malacostraca; Decapoda; Ocypodidae.
AAGGCGAACCGCGAAUGGCUCAUUAAAUCAGCUAUGAUUCAUUGGAUCUGUACCCACACUUACUUGGAUAACUGUGGUAAUUCUAGAGCUAAUACAUGCACCACGUCUCUGACCGCAAGGGAAGAGCGCUUUUAUUAGUUCAAAACCGGUCGGGCCUCGGUCCGUCACCCCACCGUGUUGAAUCUGAAUAACUUGUCGCUGAGCGCACGGUCUCCGCACCGGCGCCGCCUCUUUCAAGUGUCUGCCUUAUCAGCUUUCGAUUGUAGGUUAUACGCCUACAAUGGCUAUAACGGGUAACGGGGAAUCAGGGUUCGAUUCCGGAGAGGGAGCCUGAGAAACGGCUACCACAUCUAAGGAAGGCAGCAGGCACGCAAAUUACCCACUCCCGGCACGGGGAGGUAGUGACGAAAAAUAACGAUGCGAGACUCAUCCGAGGCCUCGCAAUCGGAAUGAGUACACUUUAAAUCCUUUAACGAGGAUCUAUUGGAGGGCAAGUCUGGUGCCAGCAGCCGCGGUAAUUCCAGCUCCAAUAGCGUAUAUUAAAGUUGUUGCGGUUAAAAAGCUCGUAGUUGGAUUUCAGUUCUGGACUGACGGUUCACCGCCCGGUGCACACUGUCACGCUCCGAACAGCCACAAAAGCCCGCUGGCUCGCACGGGGUGCUCUUCAUCGAGUGUCCCGCGUGGCCGGCAGAGUUUACUUUGAAAAAAUUAGAGUGCUCAAAGCAGGCUACAUUUACGGCCUGAAUGCCUAUGCAUGGCAAUAAUGGUAUAGGACCCUCGGUUUCUAUUUUUGUCGGUUUUCUGAACCCGGAGGUAAUGGACUUAAUUAAGGA